RNAcentral lists this ribosomal RNA (496 nucleotides) under uncultured bacterium. RNAcentral describes it as "partial 16S ribosomal RNA". It matches the Rfam family "Bacterial small subunit ribosomal RNA", at positions 29 to 507 of the family's 1533-position model. The record is from RNAcentral.
AUGAACGCUGGCGGCGUGCCUAAUACAUGCAAGUCGAGCGAACGGACGAGAAGCUUUCUUCUCUGAUGUUAGCGGCGGACGGGUGAGUAACACGUGGAUAACCUACCUAUAAGACUGGGAUAACUUCGGGAAACCGGAGCUAAUACCGGAUAAUAUUUUUAACCGCAUGGUUCAAAAGUGAAAGACGGUCUUGCUUUCACUUAUAGAUUGAUCCGCGCUUCAUUAGCUAGUUGGUAAGGUAACGGCUUACCAAGGCAACGAUGCAUAGCCGACCUGAGAGGGGGAUCGGCCACACGGGAAGUGAGACACGGUCAAGAAUACUACGGGAGGAAGCAGUAGGGAAUCUUCCGCAAUGGGCGAAAGCCUGACGGAGCAACGCCGCGUGAGUGAUGAAGGUCUUCGGAUCGUAAAACUCUGUUAUUAGGGAAGAACAUAUGUGUAAGUAACUGUGCACAUCUUGACGGUACCUAAUCAGAAAGCCACGGCUAACUACGUG